Molecule: RNA transcript, 999 nt
Organism: Homo sapiens (human)
Lineage: Eukaryota; Metazoa; Chordata; Mammalia; Primates; Hominidae
Gene: GGNBP1
Gene name: gametogenetin binding protein 1 (pseudogene)
Exons: 6
Source: RefSeq, marked reviewed
AUGGAGGCCCCAGCUCCGAAGCCCUGAUCAUGAAUUUCAGGCUGCUCCUCCAUGUUCCGCCACCAGGGUGCCAUUUCCCUGAUGAUGAGCCAAGAGGGACAUGUGAGGAGGAGGGGGCCGGGACCAUCUGCCUUGCCGCCCCACCCCUUCUCUGUGGCCAUACCCAGGGGCUUCUCAAAACGGUCACAGCAGCCUCCCUUAAAGCUGGGCAUGGGGCGUAUGGUGACCUACACCUGCAAGAGCAAGAAGGCCUGGCGGAGAGGUGAAGUCAGUUCUGCCCAUAGCAAGCCAGGAGGUGUUGGGCAACCUGCCUGAGAAGGAGGGGAAGGAGCCAGCAGGGGACGCCUCUGGGAAAACAGGGGCCUCAGACAGCAGCCACUUUAUCCAGAUCCUGCAGUUGAAGGAAGAAUACCUGCAGAGAGCCACAGGGCCCCGUGAGGUCAGCCCUGAGCCCUCCACCAGGGAGAAGGAGUGUCUGCUUGAAGGCCUGGACCACCCCACUUGCUGCCAGCCUGUCAGUGACCACCACCCAUUCACAGGAGACUGCGUGUUGGCCUCUUCCAGGGUGGAGGCAACUCCUUGGAACCACUUCCACAGUUUGGACAAGGAGCUUCAAAACUCGGCCAUGGCCAAGGUUUGCCCAGCGAGGAGAAAAGUGAGGAAGAGAAAAUGAAGGAAGAGGACAGCUCAUUCAAGCUCUGUGUCCCAGGCAUUGUUGCCCUCCAGUCGCCACCGAACAAGGCUUUCAGAUCCACAGACACAGUGGGUUUCCUGGAGUCGGAGUUGAAGAAGCUUCUGGGAAUGCAGCAAGAGUCCCGCCUCUGGAAGCUAGGCAGCCAAGAGGGCCGAGAGCUGCUUACCCGGCCAGAGAUCACCGUGGUGGAGGGAGAAGGUUAUGAGGUGCAGAGAAGACUGAGGCAUCUUCCUUCACCCAUUUCUGUCGCCCAGUGCCUGCUUCUUGAGGAGAAAGGUGAGAUGGGAAACUGGCCUCCAGAGUGA